RNAcentral lists this long non-coding RNA (2903 nucleotides) under Pan troglodytes (chimpanzee). Its description in RNAcentral is "long non-coding RNA NONPTRT010159". Lineage: Eukaryota; Metazoa; Chordata; Mammalia; Primates; Hominidae. The record is from RNAcentral.
CGGCUGUACUGGGCUCUGCCUUUUGGGCAGCUCGCCGGCCACUCCCCAAAAGCAGAGCAUUCCAUCCUUUCUCUUUUUAAACCCACGUCAUCAUCUGAUCAUAAUGGAAAUCAAUCUCCUCAAACCACCAUGCAAAGGCGUAUCCAUGGCAACCUCAAAAGGAAGGACACAGAGAUGAUGCUUCAGUGGCUGCAGCAGGAAAAGCUCUUCGCCUCUCGGUACCUUAAGUAUACCUGAGUAGCCAGUGGUCAACAUGGGUUUGCUGCUCUCCUCACUGCAAUAAAUGACGGAAACCUGUAGCUCAGUAUGGAUUCAGGGGCGCCUCAGACGCUCGCAGGAACGGAGGGGAGACCCUUGCAGUUCUGGAGGAACUCUAAGGCGCAGUCACUCUGAUCCCAGGAGAACACUGCUAGGCUGAAGAGCUGAGGUGGGUCAGACCGGCCUCGGGGCAAACGCUCAGGCGGAGCCCCCGGACCCUGGCAAGCGCCCACCCCUGCUCCAGCCCAUCCCUGCCAGUCCCCGCCCCGCACACCGGGCUCGGUCCCCAGCCCACCGCCGGCAACCUCACGAACACGUAGGGGGCCGGCGGAGCAGACGGUUGGCAGAGUCGCGCCUCCGUACCUGCACUGUCAGGGGCUCCGCGCCCAGCUCCGACCCCACCGACGACCGACGCCCAAGACCCUGCGGGCCGGCCCCGCCCUCCCCGCCCUCGUGGGCUGCCCGACUCGCCGCCAGACCCUUCCAGGACCGCCCAGAACCCUUCGGCCCAGAGGCCCAGAGGCGUUCUAGGUCGAGUGAACCCUCUUUUCCCACAGUCCAGCCCUGACUGAAAACUGCGCACCGACCGCAGCCGGGAUUACAUCAAUCAGGCACAAAGCUGGACACCUGGGACAGGAUAAGCGCACGCGCACUGUGCCUGGGAAGCCGAUUAGGACCAUAAGAAAUCGGCGUGUCGUGGCGAGCGCCCUCUUUCGGCGGAGGGGAGAAAGCGCAGAAGGGCUGGAGGACUCAUUUGCAAGUGUUAAACUGCUAAUUAAAACAAUAGCGAUAAACCAUAUCUCCUCCAUUAGCCUGGGGGAGAAAAUUAAAUGUUGCUGCUACUCAGUGUUACCUGUCAUAUGGGGAUACAGGCAUUCUCAUGCGCUUAUGAUGGGAAUGUAAAAUACAAAUUUACAUAAUGGCAUUUUAAAAUUUUAGACAUAGGUUCAAAUUCUUUUUUUUCUUUUUUUAAGACAAGGUCUCGCUCUGUUGUCUAGACUGGAGUGCGGUAGCACGCACAAUCAUGGCUCAUUGCGGCCUUGACUUCUCAGGCUCAGGCCAUCCUCCCACCUCUCAGCCUCCGUAGUAGCUGGGUCUGCAGGCGCGCACCACCAUGCCCUUUUAAUUUCCGUUUUUUUUUUUUUGUUUUUUUUUUUUUGUAAAGACGGGGUUUCACAAUGUUGCCCAGGCUGGUCUCGAACCCCUGGGCUCAAGCGAUCCAAUCGCUUCGGCCUCCCAAAGUGCUGGAAUUACAGACAUGAGCCACCGCACCCGCCUGGGUUCAAAUUCUAACUGCAAUUUACUAGCCGUGUGAAAUCUAGAGUUAGUUAUUUACCUUACCCUCUCUGUGCCUCUGUUUUCUUAUUUGUUAAAGUGAGAAUGUUAAUGAUGGUACCUAUCUCAUUAUGUUGUUAGAAGGAUUAAGUUAAUCCAUGUAAAGAGCUGGAAAUAUAACUAUUGUAAUGUUAUAUUUAUUUCAGUUAAUCUCAGAUUUAAAACAAACUGAAAAAUUCAUAAAGUUGCUGUAAGGGGCAGUAAGCAGUAGAAGGGAUGCAUUGAGUAUCCCCUUUAUUACUCCCCCCUUUUCCCUAUUUCACCUUCUAAAUAUUUAUAAUUAUUAUUUUGAAUAGAUAAUACGUUUACAUGGCUCAAAAAUCAGAACACUAUUUUAGAAUAAACACAGAGAAACCUCCCUUCAACCCUGGUUCCCAUCGACUCCAUCCCCCUUGCCUGCUACAGAUAAUGCUUGUUAUUAGUGUCUUGUUUAUCUUUUCAGUGUUUUGUGCAAAUAUAAGCUCAUAUGAAUAUAUAGUCUUACUCCUCCCGUUUCUUAUGCCAAAUGUAGCAUGCCAGAUACACUUGGCAUAAGUUCUGUUUACUUAAUCUAUUCUGAAAAUCUUUGUAAAUCAAUAAAUUAGAGAUCUUCCUCAUUUUUCAGCUGCUUAGUACUCUAUUGCAUGGAUACACAUAAUUUAUUAACCAGUUUCUUCUAGUUACAUACUUUAUUUCCAGUCUUUUAGUAUUACAAUGUUGCAAUGAAUCACUUUGAACAUAAUGACAUUCCAGUGUGAGCAGGCAUAUCUCUAGGAUACAUCUUGGUCAAAUAAUAAAUGUAUCUAUAAUUUUAGUAGAAAUGUCUUCCAUCUCCUUCAAUUAAAGAAAAAUAAAAAGUAAAUAUAAAGACUUUAAAAGAUACUGCAUAUACAUAUUUUUAAUUGUCGUAAAGCAUACAUAACAUGAAAUUUACCAUUUUAACCAUGUUUAAGUUCAGUGGCACUCAGAACAUUCACAUUGUUGUGCAAUCAUCACCACUAUCCAUCUCCAUAACUUUUUCACCUUUCUGUACCAAAAACAAACAUGUAAGCAAACAAAACCCUCUGUGAUGAUCUGACAAAAAAACUAAAGUGUAUGAUAGAAUGUGUGUAGGUUAUAUAUAAAUAAAAUACAGUUGGCCCUCUGUAUCUGUGAGUUCAACCAUCCUUGGAUUGAAAAUAUUAGGGGAAAAAUGGAUGGUUGUGUCCAUAGUAAACAUGUACAGACUUUUGUCCUUGUCAUUAUUCCCUAAACAAUACAGUAUAACAAGUGUUUACAUUGUAUUAGGUAUUAUACAUAACCUGAGAUUAUUUAAAGAAACAGUUCCCAAC